UGCCUUUGGGGCCGGGUGAAAUUCCCGACCGGCGGUGAAAGUCCGCGAGCGCCCCCUUUUUUGAAAAGGAGGGGCGCCGAUCCGGUGAAAUUCCGGGACCGACAGUAGAGUCUGGAUGGGAAAAGGC
Molecule: non-coding RNA, 127 nt
Filed under: human gut metagenome
Description: FMN riboswitch (RFN element)
Rfam family: FMN riboswitch aptamer (RFN element)
About the family: The RFN element is a highly conserved domain that is found frequently in the 5'-untranslated regions of prokaryotic mRNAs that encode for flavin mononucleotide (FMN) biosynthesis and transport proteins. This element is a metabolite-dependent riboswitch that directly binds FMN in the absence of proteins.
Source: RNAcentral